RNAcentral lists this ribosomal RNA (497 nucleotides) under uncultured bacterium. Its description in RNAcentral is "partial 16S ribosomal RNA". It matches the Rfam family "Bacterial small subunit ribosomal RNA", at positions 28 to 507 of the family's 1533-position model. The record is from RNAcentral.
GAUGAACGCUGGCGGCGUGCCUAAUACAUGCAAGUCGAGCGAACGGACGAGAAGCUUGCUUCUCUGAUGUUAGCGGCGGACGGGUGAGUAACACGUGGAUAACCUACCUAUAAGACUGGGAUAACUUCGGGAAACCGGAGCUAAUACCGGAUAAUAUUUUGAACCGCAUGGUUCAAAAGUGAAAGACGGUCUUGCUGUCACUUAUAGAUGGAUCCGCGCUGCAUUAGCUAGUUGGUAAGGUAACGGCUUACCAAGGCAACGAUGCAUAGCCGACCUGAGAGCGUGAUCAGCCACACUGGAACUAGGACACGGUCCAGACUCCUACGGGAGGCAGCAGUAGGGAAUCUUCCGCAAUGGGCGAAAGCCUGACGGAACAACGCCGCGUGAGUGAUGAAGGUCUUCGGAUCGUAAAACUCUGUUAUUAGGGAAGAACAUAUGUGUAAGUAACUGUGCACAUCUUGACGGUACCUAAUCAGAAGGCCACGGCUAACUACGUG